AGGUUUGGUCCUAGCCUUCCUAUUAAUUAUUAACAGAAUUACACAUGCAAGCCUCCCCACCCCGGUGAAAAUGCCCUCUAAAUCUACAUA
RNAcentral lists this ribosomal RNA (90 nucleotides) under Vormela peregusna (marbled polecat). RNAcentral describes it as "partial small subunit ribosomal RNA". The record is from RNAcentral. Lineage: Eukaryota; Metazoa; Chordata; Mammalia; Carnivora; Mustelidae.